GAUGAACGCUGGCGGCGUGCUUAACACAUGCAAGUCGAACGGAAAGGCGCGGCUUUUGUGGGGUGCUCGAGUGGCGAACGGGUGAGUAACACGCGAGUAACCCGCCCUUGACUUUGGGAUAACUCCAGGAAACUCGGGCUAAUACCGGAUAGGAGCUCUUGCUCCACGGUGGGGGUUGGAAAGUUUCGGCGGUUGGGGAUGGACUCGCGGCUUAUCAGCUUGUUUGUCGGGUAGUGGUAGACCAAGGCUUUGACGGGUAGCCGGCCUGAGAGCGUGACCGGGCACCUUGGGCCUGAGGGAGGGACCAGUAUGCAAUGGGAGGCAGCAGUGGGGAGCAUUGCGGAGUGGGCGGAAGCGUGAUACGGCAGCGCCGCGUGCGGGAUGACGGCCUACUGGUUAUAAACAGCUUUGGCCUGUGACGAAGCGUGAUUGACGGUAAUGGGUAAAGAAGCACCGGCUAACUACGUG
This 468-nucleotide ribosomal RNA is filed under the name uncultured bacterium. RNAcentral describes it as "partial 16S ribosomal RNA". It matches the Rfam family "Bacterial small subunit ribosomal RNA", at positions 28 to 507 of the family's 1533-position model. The record is from RNAcentral.